UCGGCUGACGGCUCAGUAACACGCGGAUAAUCUGCCCUUGGGUGGAGAAUAAUCUCGGGAAACUGAGAAUAAUACUCCAUAAGUCUAGGAUGCUGGAAUGCACUUAGGCUAAAAGCUUCGGUGCCCAAGGAUGAGUCUGCGGACUAUCAGGUUGUAGUCAGGGUAAAGACCUGACUAGCCUACGACGGAUACGGGUUGUGAGAGCAAUAACCCGGAGAUGAUAUCUGAGACACGAUAUCAGGCCCUACGGGGCGCAGCAGGCGCGAAAACUUCGCAAUGUGCGAAAGCACGACGAGGGAAUCCCAAGUGCUGGCUCGUUAGAGUCAGCUGUUUUUAUGUCUAAAAAGCAUAGAGAGUAAGGGCUGGGUAAGACGGGUGCCAGCCGCCGCGGUAAUACCUGCAGCUCAAGUGGUGGCCGCUAUUAUUGGGCCUAAAACGUCCGUAGCCUGUUUAUUAAAUGCCUAGGUAAAUUGUGUGGCUUAACCAUACGAAUUCUGGGUAGACUGGUAAACUUGAGACCGGGAGAAGCUAGAGGUACUCCUGGGGUAGAGGUGAAAUUCUGUAAUCCUAGGGGACCACCAGUGGCGAAGGCGUCUAGCUAGAACGGGUUUGACGGUGAGGGACGAAGCCCUGGGGCGCAAACGGGAUUAGAUACCCCGGUAGUCCAGGGUGUAAACGCUGCUUGCUUGAUGUUGGUUGAGCUCCGAGCCCAAUCAGUGUCGGAGAGAAGUUGUUAAGCAAGCUGCCUGGGAAGUACGGUCGCAAGACUGAAACUUAAAGGAAUUGGCGGGGGAGCACCGCAACGGGAGGAGCGUGCGGUCUAAUUGGAUUCAACGCCGGAAAGCUCACCGGAGGAGACGGUUAUAUGAAGGCCAGGCUUAUGACCUUGCUUGAUUUUCCGAGAGGUGGUGCAUGGCCGUCGUCAGUUCGUACCGUAAGGCGUUCUGUUAAGUCAGACAACGAACAAGACCCUCAUCUUUAGUUGCAACUGGUAAGUCCGCUUAUCAGGCACACUAAAGAGACCGCUGGCGCUAAGUCAGAGGAAGGCGAGGGCAACGGUAGGUCAGUAUGCCCUGAAUCCUUCGGGCUACACGCGCGCUACAAAGGCCAGGACAAUGGGCUUCGACACCGAAAGGUGAAGGUAACCCCGAAACCUGGUCAUAGUUCGGAUCGAGGGUUG
RNAcentral lists this ribosomal RNA (1180 nucleotides) under uncultured Thermoplasmata archaeon. RNAcentral's name for it is "bacterial SSU rRNA". It matches the Rfam family "Archaeal small subunit ribosomal RNA", at positions 78 to 1263 of the family's 1478-position model. Lineage: Archaea; Methanobacteriati; Thermoplasmatota; Thermoplasmata. The record is from RNAcentral.